CCUACGGGUGGCAGCAGUGGGGAAUAUUGGACAAUGGGGGGAACCCUGAUCCAGCCAUGCCGCGUGUGUGAAGAAGGCCCUCGGGUUGUAAAGCACUUUCAGUGAGGAAGAACGCCUGGUGGUUAAUACCCAUCAGGAAAGACAUCACUCACAGAAGAAGCACCGUCUAACUCCGUGCCAGCAGCCGCGGUAAUACGGAGGGUGCGAGCGUUAAUCGGAAUUACUGGGCGUAAAGCGCGCGUAGGUGGCUUGAUAAGCCGGUUGUGAAAGCCCCGGGCUCAACCUGGGAACGGCAUCCGGAACUGUCAAGCUAGAGUGCAGGAGAGGAAGGUAGAAUUCCCGGUGUAGCGGUGAAAUGCGUAGAGAUCGGGAGGAAUACCAGUGGCGAAGGCGGCCUUCUGGACUGACACUGACACUGAGGUGCGAAAGCGUGGGUAGCAAACAGGAUUAGAUACCCUUGUAGUC
RNAcentral lists this ribosomal RNA (465 nucleotides) under Vreelandella stevensii. RNAcentral describes it as "partial 16S ribosomal RNA". It matches the Rfam family "Bacterial small subunit ribosomal RNA", at positions 338 to 795 of the family's 1533-position model. Lineage: Bacteria; Pseudomonadati; Pseudomonadota; Gammaproteobacteria; Oceanospirillales; Halomonadaceae. The record is from RNAcentral.